AGAGUUAGCCGUCUCUUCCUCUUGAGGUACUAUCAACCUUGCACGCUUCUCACGCACAAGGCUUGCUCCCUCAUGACAGCGGUUUACAAUCCGAAGACCUUCUUCCCGCACGCGGCGUUGCUGGGUCAGGCUUGCGCCCAUUGCCCAAUAUUCCCCACUGCUGCCUCCCGUAGGAGUCUGGACCGUGUCUCAGUUCCAGUGUGGCCGAUCAGCCUCUCAGCUCGGCUACCCAUCGCGGACUUGGUGGGCCAUUACCCCGCCAACUAUCUAAUGGGACGCGAGCCCCUCCUUCUGCGGAUUUCUCCUUUGACCUCUCUGCCAUGCGACAGUGUGGUCUUAUGCGGUAUUAGCAACAAUUUCUUGUUGUUAUCCCCCUCAAAAGGCAGGUUGCUCACGCGUUACUCACCCGUUCGCCACUAAAUUACAGACCGAAGUCUGUAACUCCGUUCGACUUGCAUGUGUUAGGCACGCCGCCAGCGUUCGUCCUGAGCCAGGAUCAAACUCUGA
This 507-nucleotide ribosomal RNA is filed under the name uncultured bacterium. Its description in RNAcentral is "partial 16S ribosomal RNA". The record is from RNAcentral.